GCCAAGGUGCUCCCCUAAAGGGAGAUAAUAGGGAAACAGGUGCAAGUCCUGUACGAUCCCGUCACUGUAAGCGCGGAGCCUGCCGCUUUAAACGUCACUGGCCUUUGGGCCGGGAAGGCAGCGGAGGGCAAAGAUGCGCAAGUCAGGAGACCUGCCUUGGCCA
Molecule: non-coding RNA, 163 nt
Filed under: bovine gut metagenome
Source: RNAcentral